GGCUUUGCAGCUCAGCUGGUAGAGCACUCGCGGUACUGGAGCGAGGGUAGUGACUGUGCGUGGGUUCGAAUCCUGCCGGGGCCA
This 84-nucleotide transfer RNA is filed under the name Fasciola hepatica (liver fluke). It matches the Rfam family "tRNA". From Rfam's summary of the family: Transfer RNA (tRNA) molecules are approximately 80 nucleotides in length. Their secondary structure includes four short double-helical elements and three loops (D, anti-codon, and T loops). The record is from Rfam by way of RNAcentral. Lineage: Eukaryota; Metazoa; Platyhelminthes; Trematoda; Plagiorchiida; Fasciolidae.